AUUGCUGUUGAGUCAAUUCUGACUCACGUUGACUUGUGGGAAGGGACAAUUGUGCUUGUCUUUUGGCUGGUCUUUUCCCCUCUUCUCUUCCAAUUAUCUGGAUCUUUCUGCCUUCAGAAACAUCCACAGUCUCCUCUAUGGCCAUAGUACUGAGUAGGCAAUCUAGUCCAACUAGUGAAUGGCUGCCAAAACUGUGUCCAGCCAAAACUUAAAUAAACUUAACUUAAAUCUGCAUUUGUGACAAUAUGGCUUGAGAUAUUCCUCUUCAAAAUACUACCAAAAGCACCUCAUAGUAGUAACUGCUAUUCAGGGCAAUGUGUCAGACACGAUAAAAAGUGAAAUCACUCACGUUGUUUUAUUUAAUCCAAUUUAAUUUUUCCACAAACAUAGAUAUCAUUAUCUUCAUUUUAAAGAUGAAGCUGAGACUCACAGGAGAAAAAUAACUUCCUAAAAUCACAUGGCUGAUCCCCGAUGAGUAGUGAUGUAUACUUCUUCCGCAUGCUUACUGGACAUUGAAUAUCAUUUAGUGGAAAAUGCUGUUUAUGUCUUUGCAUUUUCAUUGGGUUAUUUGUAAGAGGUUUUUCCACGUGGAUAUUUCCGUAUGGACAUAUCAUCAACCCAAAACAAUUUAUUGGAAAGACAACCCUUUGUCCACUGCACCUUUGUCAUAAAUCAGGUGUCUAUACAUGCGUGGGUGUAUUUCUGGUUGUCUAUUCUGUUCCUUCCAUCUUUCGUUUUGCCUAAUCUUGGAGCAACACCAAUCAACCAUAUACUAUAGCUUAAAAUAAGGAUUGAUUGUGUAAAUCCUCCAACCUUGUUAUUUUUGGUUGCUUCUGCAUUUUUAUAUAAGUUUUAGAACUGGGAAGAAAUACUUCCUAACUCAGUGACUGACAAAGUAUGGCCCACAAGCCAAAUCUGGCCCAUUAUCUGAUUUGAAAAUAAAGUUACUGGGUCACAGCCACCCUCACUGAUUUACACAUUUUCUGUUACUACUUUUCUACUACAAUAACAGAAUUGAGUAGUUGUGACAGAGACCCUAUGGCCUGUAGAGCUUUCGCUAUCUGGCCUCUCACAGAAAACAUUUGCCAACCUGUCCAAACUCAUUCUAUGAGGCUAGCAUCAUUUUGAUGCUAAAAUCAGACAAAUACAUUACAAACAAACAAAACUACUGACCAGUAUCUCUCAUGAACAUAGGUACAAAAGUUCUAAACAAAAUUUUAGAAAAUCAAAUUCAACAAUAUAUUAAAAGAAUGGUACAUCAUGAUCAAGUAUUCCUGGCUUAUCCCAAAAAUGCAGGGUUUGUUUAACAUUUGAAAAUCAAUCAAUGCAAUACCAUAUUAACAAACUAAAAAGAAAAACUAUAUGAUCAUAGAUACAGAAAAUACAUUUGACAAAGUCCAACAUCAAUUCCUGAAAAAAAAAUCAAUUCUUGAUAAAAGGAGAACUAUGAAAAACCUGCAACUAACAUCAUACUUAAAAAAGGGGAAAGAUUGAGUGUUUUCCCCCUAGAUCAUGAAAAAGACUUUUAUGUCUACUCGCAGCACUUGUAUUCAAUACUGUACUGAAAAUUCUAGCCAGUGCAAUCAGGCAAAAAAAAAAAAAACA
Long non-coding RNA from Trichechus manatus latirostris (Florida manatee), 1605 nucleotides. RefSeq lists it as uncharacterized. The record is from RefSeq and is a predicted model, not a curated record. Lineage: Eukaryota; Metazoa; Chordata; Mammalia; Sirenia; Trichechidae. The transcript is spliced from 2 exons.